This 453-nucleotide ribosomal RNA is filed under the name uncultured Allobrachymonas sp. Its description in RNAcentral is "bacterial SSU rRNA". It matches the Rfam family "Bacterial small subunit ribosomal RNA", at positions 923 to 1382 of the family's 1533-position model. The record is from RNAcentral. Lineage: Bacteria; Pseudomonadati; Pseudomonadota; Betaproteobacteria; Burkholderiales; Comamonadaceae.
GCACAAGCGGUGGAUGAUGUGGUUUAAUUCGAUGCAACGCGAAAACCUUACCCACCUUUGACAUGGCAGGAAUCCCGAAGAGAUUUGGAGUGCUCGAAAGAGAACCUGCACACAGGUGCUGCAUGGCUGUCGUCAGCUCGUGUCGUGAGAUGUUGGGUUAAGUCCCGCAACGAGCGCAACCCUUGCCAUUAGUUGCUACGAAAGGGCACUCUAAUGGGACUGCCGGUGACGAACCGGAGGAAGGUGGGGAUGACGUCAAGUCCUCAUGGCCCUUAUAGGUGGGGCUACACACGUCAUACAAUGGCCGGUACAGAGGGUAGCCAACCCGCGAGGGGGAGCCAAUCCCACAAAGCCGGUCGUAGUCCGGAUCGCAGUCUGCAACUCGACUGCGUGAAGUCGGAAUCGCUAGUAAUCGCGGAUCGGCAUGUCGCGGUGAAUACGUUCCCGGGCCUU